AAGUUGUCACAAGGUUUCUGUAGGUGAACCUGCGGAAGGAUCAUUAACACGUAUCCAAACGUUAAAACCCUCCCCCGUGAACAUUGAUUCCUGCUCUUGUAACCCGCGAAGCUUGCAAUCUCUGGUAAAUCAUAGCCCGGAAAGUAGUUUUGAUUCAGAGACCUCUGGCCCGUGCGAAAAUUGGAACAGUUACAAUUCGAGCGGUAGUUCUAUAGCCCUUGUUUCGAUUCUUGUAGACCGCACCUCGAGGAUAGGAGCUAGGCCAAAGGGUCCCCAUGCCCCUUACAACCCCACAGUGAAAUGUAAAGCUCUUUGUAAUACAUUGGGUAAAAAACCGUC
This 339-nucleotide unclassified non-coding RNA is filed under the name fungal sp. RNAcentral describes it as "partial internal transcribed spacer region". The stretch from base 1 to 46 matches the Rfam family "Eukaryotic small subunit ribosomal RNA", at positions 1786 to 1831 of the family's 1831-position model. Lineage: Eukaryota; Fungi. The record is from RNAcentral.